Molecule: long non-coding RNA, 667 nt
Filed under: Vigna radiata
Lineage: Eukaryota; Viridiplantae; Streptophyta; Magnoliopsida; Fabales; Fabaceae
Description: long non-coding RNA (VRAD_LNC014486)
Source: RNAcentral
UUGGUUUUUCAGAUUUGAUGGUUGGAAUGCACGCUAUAUAUCAUCAAAUGACUACAGUAAAGAUCUUGUUGUAAGAAAUUUUUAAUUUUGGUUGGUUUUCACGCUAGCAAAAUUUGGUGGUGAAACUUGGCAAGGUCGGUGCAUGGUGCCAAGAUUUGGGAAAUUUUCAAAGACUUGGUUUUUCAGAUUUGAUUGUUGGAAUGGACGCUUUAUAUCACCAAAUGACUACAGUAAAGAUCUUCGUGCAAGGAAUUUUUUAUUUUGGUUGGUUUUCAGGCUAGCAAAAUUUGGUGGUGAGACUUGGCAAGGUCGGUGCAUGGUACAAAGAUUUUAGAAAUUUUUAAAGACUUGGUUUUUCAGUUUUGAUGGUUGGAAUGCACUCUUUAUAUCACCAAAUGACUACAGUAAUGAUAUUCGUGCAAGAAAUUUUUAUUUUGGUUGGUUUUCAGGCUAGCAAAAUUUGGUGGUGAGACUUGGCAAGGUGGGUGCAUGGUGCCAAGAUUUGGGAAAUUUUCAAAGUCUUGGUUUUUCAAAUUUGAUGGUUGGAAUGCACUCUUUAUAUCACCAAAUGAAUACUGUAAACAUGUUGGUGCAAGAAAUUUUUCAUUUUAGUUGGUUUUCAAGCUCGUCAAGUUUGGUGGUGAGACUUGGCUAGGUUAGUGCAUGG